This 633-nucleotide ribosomal RNA is filed under the name Shigella flexneri. RNAcentral describes it as "bacterial SSU rRNA". It matches the Rfam family "Bacterial small subunit ribosomal RNA", at positions 907 to 1533 of the family's 1533-position model. Lineage: Bacteria; Pseudomonadati; Pseudomonadota; Gammaproteobacteria; Enterobacterales; Enterobacteriaceae. The record is from RNAcentral.
GAAUUGACGGGGGCCCGCACAAGCGGUGGAGCAUGUGGUUUAAUUCGAUGCAACGCGAAGAACCUUACCUGGUCUUGACAUCCACGGAAGUUUUCAGAGAUGAGAAUGUGCCUUCGGGAACCGUGAGACAGGUGCUGCAUGGCUGUCGUCAGCUCGUGUUGUGAAAUGUUGGGUUAAGUCCCGCAACGAGCGCAACCCUUAUCCUUUGUUGCCAGCGGUCCGGCCGGGAACUCAAAGGAGACUGCCAGUGAUAAACUGGAGGAAGGUGGGGAUGACGUCAAGUCAUCAUGGCCCUUACGACCAGGGCUACACACGUGCUACAAUGGCGCAUACAAAGAGAAGCGACCUCGCGAGAGCAAGCGGACCUCAUAAAGUGCGUCGUAGUCCGGAUUGGAGUCUGCAACUCGACUCCAUGAAGUCGGAAUCGCUAGUAAUCGUGGAUCAGAAUGCCACGGUGAAUACGUUCCCGGGCCUUGUACACACCGCCCGUCACACCAUGGGAGUGGGUUGCAAAAGAAGUAGGUAGCUUAACCUUCGGGAGGGCGCUUACCACUUUGUGAUUCAUGACUGGGGUGAAGUCGUAACAAGGUAACCGUAGGGGAACCUGCGGUUGGAUCACCUCCUUACCUUAAA